CGCUGGCGGCGUGCCUAAUACAUGCAAGUCGAACGGUCUUUCUAUGGAAGCUUGCUUCCACUGAGAAGAUAGUGGCGAACGGGUGAGUAACACGUGGGUAACCUGCCCAUAAGAGGGGGAUAACAUCCGGAAACGGGUGCUAAUACCGCAUAGUUUUCUUGAUCGCAUGAUUGAGAAAGGAAGACGGCCUUUGUGCUGUCGCUUAUGGAUGGACCCGCGGCGUAUUAGUUAGUUGGUGAGGUAACGGCUCACCAAGACGAUGAUACGUAGCCGACCUGAGAGGGUGAUCGGCCACAUUGGGACUGAGACACGGCCCAAACUCCUACGGGAGGCAGCAGUAGGGAAUCUUCCGCAAUGGACGAAAGUCUGACGGAGCAACGCCGCGUGAGUGAAGAAAGGUUUUCGGAUCGUAAAACUCUGUUGUCAGAGAAGAACAAGUUGGAGAGUAACUGCUCCAGCCUUGACGGUAUCUGACCAGAAAGCCACGGCUAACUACGUGCCAGCCGCCGC
This 510-nucleotide ribosomal RNA is filed under the name uncultured bacterium. RNAcentral describes it as "bacterial SSU rRNA". It matches the Rfam family "Bacterial small subunit ribosomal RNA", at positions 34 to 518 of the family's 1533-position model. The record is from RNAcentral.